UAAAAAAAGUCGUACAUCUUUGAUGUUACGGAUUUGGGUAUAUCGAUUUUAUAAAUCGAUUACCUAAAAUUAAUAUAUAUAUGUAAUGUGAAGCGUACUAAUUAUAGUCGUUAAUCAUUUUAUAUUUAUUACAUUACAACCAAGUAAUUUAGUUAGUGAUGUAUAAAUUAUGAGAA
RNAcentral lists this unclassified non-coding RNA (176 nucleotides) under Gigaspora rosea. RNAcentral describes it as "ITS2". Lineage: Eukaryota; Fungi; Glomeromycota; Glomeromycetes; Diversisporales; Gigasporaceae. The record is from RNAcentral.